AGGAACAAUCGACCCUUCGAUCGCGGGGUUACGUUUAAUUUCCUCUACGCGCUAGUCGGGCCACCCUUAACAAUAUUAUAGCGCAAGGGAAGACGCGAUACUGGAAGUGGCUGCUUCAAGGUUCUCAAGUUCGUCCCGUGUCAGCCCCGGGUCUUCCUGGUGUAAUGGAGUACAGUGCGAGAUCGUAACUCAAGCCCGAAGCUAAUGUUGGUGGCCAUGUCAAUUAUAAAGUCGUUCCAAUGAAGAGCUACAGCUGCGCCCUCUUCUACUACCGGCGGGAUAUUCAAACUAUGCUACUUUCUCGAGGUAAGGAUCUUCUCCGGUCGUUACGACUUGUUAUUCACGACACGUUGCGACUGACGUGCAAAUCAACUUUCGGCGUUGCUACGAGCUUGUUGAUUUUUCCGUCGUGGAAAACGAGCGACGAUUUGUCUGCAAACAUUUGACUUUCCAUCCUCGCCGAACCCUAAAUAUUCUUCUUUUUUCGGUUCGUCAAACACCCACCGGAGUACUCUGGAUACUCAUUAACGUGGGAGUUACGUAGUGUACGGACCUGAUGAAAAGUACUGUAU
Long non-coding RNA from Cephus cinctus (wheat stem sawfly), 572 nucleotides. RefSeq lists it as uncharacterized. The transcript has 3 exons. The record is from RefSeq and is a predicted model, not a curated record. Lineage: Eukaryota; Metazoa; Arthropoda; Insecta; Hymenoptera; Cephidae.